UGGGGAAUAUUGCGCAAUGGGCGAAAGCCUGACGCAGCGACGCCGUGUGAGGGAUGAAGGUCUUCGGAUCGUAAACCUCUGUCAGGAGGGAAGAAACGCAUAGAGUGGAAAUACUCUGUGCCUGACGGUACCUCCAGAGGAAGCACCGGCUAACUCCGUGCCAGCAGCCGCGGUAAUACGGAGGGUGCUAGCGUUAAUCGGAAUUACUGGGCGUAAAGCGUACGUAGGCGGCCUUUCAAGUCAGGUGUGAAAGCCCUCGGCUCAACCGGGGAACUGCACUUGAUACUGCAAGGCUGGAGUUCGAGAGAGGGUGGCGGAAUUCCGGGUGUAGGGGUGAAAUCCGUAGAUAUCCGGAGGAACACCGGUGGCGAAGGCGGCCACCUGGCUCGACACUGACGCUGAGGUACGAAAGCGUGGGGAGCAAACA
Molecule: ribosomal RNA, 427 nt
Filed under: uncultured Desulfovibrionaceae bacterium
Lineage: Bacteria; Pseudomonadati; Thermodesulfobacteriota; Desulfovibrionia; Desulfovibrionales; Desulfovibrionaceae
Description: partial 16S ribosomal RNA
Rfam family: Bacterial small subunit ribosomal RNA
Source: RNAcentral